CUUUAGCGCGGUGGUCCCACCUGACCCCAUGCCGAACUCAGAAGUGAAACGCCGUAGCGCCGAUGGUAGUGUGGGGUCUCCCCAUGUGAGAGUAGGGAACUGCCAGAC
RNAcentral lists this ribosomal RNA (108 nucleotides) under Enterobacter cloacae. RNAcentral also lists the same sequence under 3 other names. The record is from RNAcentral. Lineage: Bacteria; Pseudomonadati; Pseudomonadota; Gammaproteobacteria; Enterobacterales; Enterobacteriaceae.